RNAcentral lists this ribosomal RNA (389 nucleotides) under uncultured bacterium. Its description in RNAcentral is "bacterial SSU rRNA". It matches the Rfam family "Bacterial small subunit ribosomal RNA", at positions 30 to 417 of the family's 1533-position model. The record is from RNAcentral.
AUUGAACGCUGGCGGCGUGCUUAACACAUGCAAGUCGUGCGGUAACAGGCGUAGCAAUACGUGCUGACGAGCGGCGAACGGGUGCGUAAUACAUGGGAAUCUGCCCUUUAGUGGGGAAUAACCCGGCGAAAGCCGGGCUAAUGCCGCAUAAGAUCUUCGGAUGAAAGCGGGGGAGUCGUAAGACCUCGCGCUGAUGGAUGAGCCCAUGUCGGAUUAGCAGUUGGUGAGGUAACGGCUCACCAAGGCGACGAUCCGUAGCUGGUCUGAGAGGACGGCCAGCCACACUGGGACUGAGACACGGCCCAGACUCCUACGGGAGGCAGCAGUGGGGAAUAUUGGACAAUGGGCGAAAGCCUGAUCCAGCCAUGCCGCGUGUGUGAAGAAGGCCU